RNAcentral lists this ribosomal RNA (497 nucleotides) under uncultured bacterium. Its description in RNAcentral is "partial 16S ribosomal RNA". It matches the Rfam family "Bacterial small subunit ribosomal RNA", at positions 29 to 507 of the family's 1533-position model. The record is from RNAcentral.
AGUGAACGCUGGCGGCAUGCCUAAUACAUGCAAGUCGAGCGACCGCACGGGAAGCUUUCUCCCCUGACGUUGGCGACGGACGGAUGAGUGAGACAUACAUAACCUACCUCUAAUACUUGGGUAACUUCGUGGGACCACAGCUACUACCAGCUCAUAUAUCCAACGGCAUGGUUCAAUAGUUAUUGAGGCUUUGGCUGUCACUUAUAGCUGGAUCCGCGCCGGAUUAGCUAGUUGGUAAGGUAACGGCCUACCAAGGCAACGAUGCGUAGCUGACCUGAGAGGGUGAUCAGCCACACUGGAACUGAGACACGGUCCAGACUCCUACGGGAGGCAGCAGUAGGGAAUCUUGCGCAAUGGGCGCAAGCCUGACGGAGCAACGCCGCGUGAGUGAUGAAGGUCUUCGGAUUGUAAAACUCUGUUAUUAGGGAAGAAAAAAAGUGUAAGUAACUAUGCCCGUUUUGACGGUACCUAAUCAGAAAGCAACGGCUAACUACGUG